UUAUUAGCUCAGGUGGUUAGAGCGCACCCCUGAUAAGGGUGAGGUCCCUGGUUCGAGUCCAGGAUGGCCCACUGCGUGGGGGUUUAGCUCAGCUGGUAGAGCGCCUGCUUUGCAAGCAGGAUGUCAGCGGUUCGAGUCCGCUAACCUCCACCACGAAAGUGAAGGAUUGAAUUCAGCACAGUGUGUUUUGGAGUAUUCCGAAGCAUAGUCUGCUGGGUGAGAGCCUGGCAAAGAACCUUGAAAACUGAAUAUGAGAGAAGUGUAAGGUAGUACACACAGAACAUUUAAGUUCGUUGAGAGAAGAGUGAGUUUUGUUGGGUAAAGCCAAUAAAACGA
This 336-nucleotide transfer RNA is filed under the name Nodosilinea nodulosa PCC 7104. Its description in RNAcentral is "partial 16S-23S ribosomal RNA intergenic spacer". The stretch from base 78 to 150 matches the Rfam family "tRNA". The record is from RNAcentral. Lineage: Bacteria; Bacillati; Cyanobacteriota; Cyanophyceae; Nodosilineales; Nodosilineaceae.